GAUGAACGCUGGCGGCGUGCCUAAUACAUGCCAGUCGAGCGAACAGACGAGGAGCUUGCUCCUCUGACGUUAGCGGCGGACGGGUGAGUAACACGUGGAUACCUACCUAUAAGACUGGGAUAACUUCGGGAAACCGGAGCUAAUACCGGAUAAUAUAUUGAACCGCAUGGUUCAAUAGUGAAAGACGGUUUUGCUGUCACUUAUAGAUGGAUCCGCGCCGCAUUAGCUAGUUGGUAAGGUAACGGCUUACCAAGGCAACGAUGCGUAGCCGACCUGAGAGGGUGAUCGGCCACACUGGAACUGAGACACGGUCCAGACUCCUACGGGAGGCAGCAGUAGGGAAUCUUCCGCAAUGGGCGAAAGCCUGACGGAGCAACGCCGCGUGAGUGAUGAAGGUCUUCGGAUCGUAAAACUCUGUUAUUAGGGAAGAACAAAUGUGUAAGUAACUAUGCACGUCUUGACGGUACCUAAUCAGAAAGCCACGGCUAACUACGUG
This 496-nucleotide ribosomal RNA is filed under the name uncultured bacterium. RNAcentral's name for it is "partial 16S ribosomal RNA". It matches the Rfam family "Bacterial small subunit ribosomal RNA", at positions 28 to 507 of the family's 1533-position model. The record is from RNAcentral.